AAAUAUUGGGACAUAUAAAAAAAAAGACAACUCUGUUCCACAGAGUAGUAGUUAACAUUAUAGUUGCGCAGGCACUUUGUUGACUCUAGAGAACCUCGGGCCAAUCGCACAUCCCUGUGGCGGCGACUUUGCAUGCGGAUGUCAUCCAUAUCAACGUUUGAUGCCAGUUUCUGCGCCUACCAUGGUGACCACGGGUAACGGGGAAUCAGGGUUCCAUUCCGUACAGGGACCAUGAGAAACAGCUAUCACAUGCAAGAAAGGCAGCAGGCGCGCAAAUGACCCACUCCCGACGUGGGAAGGUAGUGAU
Molecule: non-coding RNA, 307 nt
Organism: Pelobates cultripes (western spadefoot toad)
Lineage: Eukaryota; Metazoa; Chordata; Amphibia; Anura; Pelobatidae
Source: the annotation of a GenBank genome assembly